RNAcentral lists this ribosomal RNA (468 nucleotides) under uncultured bacterium. RNAcentral describes it as "partial 16S ribosomal RNA". It matches the Rfam family "Bacterial small subunit ribosomal RNA", at positions 28 to 507 of the family's 1533-position model. The record is from RNAcentral.
GACGAACGCUGGCGGCGUGCUUAACACAUGCAAGUCGAACGGAAAGGCGCUGGUUUUGUGGCGUUCUCGAGUGGCGAACGGGUGAGUAACACGUGAGUAACCUGCCCUUGACUUUGGGAUAACUUCAGGAGACUGGGGCUAAUACCGGAUAGGAGAUCCUGCUGCAUGGUGUGGGUUGGAAAGUUUGGGCGGUUCGGGAUGGACUCGCGGCUUACCAGCUUGUUGGUGUGGUAGUGGCUUAGCAAGUCUUUGACGGGUAGCAGGCCUGAGAGGGUGACCGGCAACAUGGGGACUGAGAUACGGCCCAGAGUCGUACGGGAGGCAGCAGUGGGGAAUAUUGCACAAUGGGGGGAAGCCUGAUGAAGCAACGCCGCGUGCUGGAUGAUGGCCUUCGGGUUGUAAACCGCUUUCGCCUGUAAUGAAGCGUGAGUGACGGUAAUGGGUAAAGAAGCACCGGCUAACUCCGUG